GACGAACGCUAGCGGCGUGCUUAACACAUGCAAGUCGAACGGAAAGGCCCUGCUUUUGUGGGGUGCUCGAGUGGCGAACGGGUGAGUAACACGUGAGUAACCUGCCCUUGACUUUGGGAUAACUUCAGGAAACUGGGGCUAAUACCGGAUAGGAGCUCCUGCUGCAUGGUGGGGGUUGGAAAGUUUCGGCGGUUGGGGAUGGACUCGCGGCUUAUCAGCUUGUUGGUGGGGUAGUGGCUUACCAAGGCUUUGACGGGUAGCCGGCCUGAGAGGGUGACCGGCCACCUUGGGACUGAGGUACGGCCCAGACUCCUACGGGAGGCAGCAGUGGGGAAUAUUGCACAAUGGGAGGAAGCCUGAUGCAGAAACCCCGCGUGCGGGAUGACGGCCUUCGGGUUGUAAACCGCUUUCGCCUAUGACGAAGCGUGAGUGACGGUAAUGGGUAAAGAAGCACCGGCUAACUACGUG
RNAcentral lists this ribosomal RNA (468 nucleotides) under uncultured bacterium. RNAcentral's name for it is "partial 16S ribosomal RNA". It matches the Rfam family "Bacterial small subunit ribosomal RNA", at positions 28 to 507 of the family's 1533-position model. The record is from RNAcentral.